This 254-nucleotide ribosomal RNA is filed under the name uncultured bacterium. Its description in RNAcentral is "partial 16S ribosomal RNA". It matches the Rfam family "Bacterial small subunit ribosomal RNA", at positions 524 to 776 of the family's 1533-position model. The record is from RNAcentral.
UACGGGGGGAGCAAGUGUUGUUCGGAUUUACUGGGCGUAAAGGGCGCGUAGGCGGUCGUGACAAGUCACUUGUGAAAUCUCCGGGCUUAACUCGGAAAGGUCAACUGAUACUGCGGGGCUAGAGUGCGGAAGGGGCAACUGGAAUUCCUGGUGUAGCGGUGAAAUGCGCAGAUAUCAGGAGGAACACCGAUUGCGAAGGCAGCUCGCUGGGACGUAACUGACGCUGAGACGCGAAAGCGUGGGGAGCAAACAGG